GAGGGGCCUACGUUCGAUUAGCUAGUUGGCAGGGUAAGGGCCUACCAAGGCGACGAUCGAUAGCUGGUCUGAGAGGACGAUCAGCCACACUGGGACUGAGACACGGCCCAGACUCCUACGGGAGGCAGCAGUGGGGAAUUUUUCGCAAUGGGGGCAACCCUGACGAAGCAAUGCCGCGUGAAUGAAGAAGGCCUUCGGGUUGUAAAGUUCUUUCGUGGGAGACGAAAAGGUAAUCGCUAAUAUCGGUUACUGUUGACGUGAACCCAAGAAGAAGCACCGGCUAACUCCGUGCCAGCAGC
This 299-nucleotide ribosomal RNA is filed under the name Acidithiobacillus thiooxidans. RNAcentral's name for it is "partial 16S ribosomal RNA". It matches the Rfam family "Bacterial small subunit ribosomal RNA", at positions 224 to 515 of the family's 1533-position model. The record is from RNAcentral. Lineage: Bacteria; Pseudomonadati; Pseudomonadota; Acidithiobacillia; Acidithiobacillales; Acidithiobacillaceae.